This 2330-nucleotide ribosomal RNA is filed under the name Escherichia coli. RNAcentral's name for it is "partial 23S ribosomal RNA". It matches the Rfam family "Bacterial large subunit ribosomal RNA", at positions 418 to 2733 of the family's 2925-position model. The record is from RNAcentral. Lineage: Bacteria; Pseudomonadati; Pseudomonadota; Gammaproteobacteria; Enterobacterales; Enterobacteriaceae.
CGGGACACGUGGUAUCCUGUCUGAAUAUGGGGGGACCAUCCUCCAAGGCUAAAUACUCCUGACUGACCGAUAGUGAACCAGUACCGUGAGGGAAAGGCGAAAAGAACCCCGGCGAGGGGAGUGAAAAAGAACCUGAAACCGUGUACGUACAAGCAGUGGGAGCACGCUUAGGCGUGUGACUGCGUACCUUUUGUAUAAUGGGUCAGCGACUUAUAUUCUGUAGCAAGGUUAACCGAAUAGGGGAGCCGAAGGGAAACCGAGUCUUAACUGGGCGUUAAGUUGCAGGGUAUAGACCCGAAACCCGGUGAUCUAGCCAUGGGCAGGUUGAAGGUUGGGUAACACUAACUGGAGGACCGAACCGACUAAUGUUGAAAAAUUAGCGGAUGACUUGUGGCUGGGGGUGAAAGGCCAAUCAAACCGGGAGAUAGCUGGUUCUCCCCGAAAGCUAUUUAGGUAGCGCCUCGUGAAUUCAUCUCCGGGGGUAGAGCACUGUUUCGGCAAGGGGGUCAUCCCGACUUACCAACCCGAUGCAAACUGCGAAUACCGGAGAAUGUUAUCACGGGAGACACACGGCGGGUGCUAACGUCCGUCGUGAAGAGGGAAACAACCCAGACCGCCAGCUAAGGUCCCAAAGUCAUGGUUAAGUGGGAAACGAUGUGGGAAGGCCCAGACAGCCAGGAUGUUGGCUUAGAAGCAGCCAUCAUUUAAAGAAAGCGUAAUAGCUCACUGGUCGAGUCGGCCUGCGCGGAAGAUGUAACGGGGCUAAACCAUGCACCGAAGCUGCGGCAGCGACGCUGAUGCGUUGUUGGGUAGGGGAGCGUUCUGUAAGCCUGCGAAGGUGUGCUGUGAGGCAUGCUGGAGGUAUCAGAAGUGCGAAUGCUGACAUAAGUAACGAUAAAGCGGGUGAAAAGCCCGCUCGCCGGAAGACCAAGGGUUCCUGUCCAACGUUAAUCGGGGCAGGGUGAGUCGACCCCUAAGGCGAGGCCGAAAGGCGUAGUCGAUGGGAAACAGGUUAAUAUUCCUGUACUUGGUGUUACUGCGAAGGGGGGACGGAGAAGGCUAUGUUGGCCGGGCGACGGUUGUCCCGGUUUAAGCGUGUAGGCUGGUUUUCCAGGCAAAUCCGGAAAAUCAAGGCUGAGGCGUGAUGACGAGGCACUACGGUGCUGAAGCAACAAAUGCCCUGCUUCCAGGAAAAGCCUCUAAGCAUCAGGUAACAUCAAAUCGUACCCCAAACCGACACAGGUGGUCAGGUAGAGAAUACCAAGGCGCUUGAGAGAACUCGGGUGAAGGAACUAGGCAAAAUGGUGCCGUAACUUCGGGAGAAGGCACGCUGAUAUGUAGGUGAAGUCCCUCGCGGAUGGAGCUGAAAUCAGUCGAAGAUACCAGCUGGCUGCAACUGUUUAUUAAAAACACAGCACUGUGCAAACACGAAAGUGGACGUAUACGGUGUGACGCCUGCCCGGUGCCGGAAGGUUAAUUGAUGGGGUUAGCGCAAGCGAAGCUCUUGAUCGAAGCCCCGGUAAACGGCGGCCGUAACUAUAACGGUCCUAAGGUAGCGAAAUUCCUUGUCGGGUAAGUUCCGACCUGCACGAAUGGCGUAAUGAUGGCCAGGCUGUCUCCACCCGAGACUCAGUGAAAUUGAACUCGCUGUGAAGAUGCAGUGUACCCGCGGCAAGACGGAAAGACCCCGUGAACCUUUACUAUAGCUUGACACUGAACAUUGAGCCUUGAUGUGUAGGAUAGGUGGGAGGCUUUGAAGUGUGGACGCCAGUCUGCAUGGAGCCGACCUUGAAAUACCACCCUUUAAUGUUUGAUGUUCUAACGUUGACCCGUAAUCCGGGUUGCGGACAGUGUCUGGUGGGUAGUUUGACUGGGGCGGUCUCCUCCUAAAGAGUAACGGAGGAGCACGAAGGUUGGCUAAUCCUGGUCGGACAUCAGGAGGUUAGUGCAAUGGCAUAAGCCAGCUUGACUGCGAGCGUGACGGCGCGAGCAGGUGCGAAAGCAGGUCAUAGUGAUCCGGUGGUUCUGAAUGGAAGGGCCAUCGCUCAACGGAUAAAAGGUACUCCGGGGAUAACAGGCUGAUACCGCCCAAGAGUUCAUAUCGACGGCGGUGUUUGGCACCUCGAUGUCGGCUCAUCACAUCCUGGGGCUGAAGUAGGUCCCAAGGGUAUGGCUGUUCGCCAUUUAAAGUGGUACGCGAGCUGGGUUUAGAACGUCGUGAGACAGUUCGGUCCCUAUCUGCCGUGGGCGCUGGAGAACUGAGGGGGGCUGCUCCUAGUACGAGAGGACCGGAGUGGACGCAUCACUGGUGUUCGGGUUGUCAUGCCAAU